GGAGAGUUGUCCGAGUGGUCGAAGGUGCAGCACUCGAAAUGCUGUAGGCCAAAAGCCUCUAGGGUUCGAAUCCCUAACUCUCCGCCA
Molecule: transfer RNA, 87 nt
Filed under: Clostridia bacterium
Lineage: Bacteria; Bacillati; Bacillota; Clostridia
Description: tRNA-Ser
Rfam family: tRNA
About the family: Transfer RNA (tRNA) molecules are approximately 80 nucleotides in length. Their secondary structure includes four short double-helical elements and three loops (D, anti-codon, and T loops).
Source: RNAcentral